RNAcentral lists this non-coding RNA (820 nucleotides) under Glyptotermes sp. B TB-2014. Lineage: Eukaryota; Metazoa; Arthropoda; Insecta; Blattodea; Kalotermitidae. The record is from RNAcentral.
GAUUAGUUUUAUUCUUGCUAUGUUGUUCAGUAUUUUCUUGCUUUAUAUGUAAGUUUUUGCGUGAGUGUGCCAUUGGAUUCUUGAUGGGUGUUAGGGUUUUAUUAGGGAUUUGAGUUUAAUCGCAUUAUUUAUCAUUAUAUAUUUUGGUCUUUAAGAUUUAGCAAUGAUUUUUAGUGGUGGCUAAGUUUGUGCCAGCAGUCGCGGUUAUACAUUAAGCGCUGUUGAAUAUUUUUGGUUAUACAGUUAUAUUUUUUUUUGUUUGGCAUGUUUUGUUUGUUUAAUUUAGGUGGAAUUAUUUAAUUUUCAAUUAUUGCUUUGUGUAGUUAGUUGGAGGCUGUGAAAUCUUUGUUUUAAACUAGGAUUAGAUACCCUAUUAUUUUAGAUGUUAAUUUGUUUUGUCCUGGGUAGUAUUAGGUAUGUUCUUGAAACCUAAAGAAUUUGGCGGUAUCUUAUUCCUUUCAGAGGAAUCUGCCCUGUAAUCGGUAGUCCGCGCUGUACCUUACUUAAUUUUUUUUUGUUUGUAUACCGCCGUUAUAGUGAAGAUCUUUUUAGUGUUGUAUAAUUUUCUAGUUUUAUAAUUGUAAUUUAUUUCAGGUCAAGGUGCAGCUUGUUUUUGAGUUUGAGGUGGAUUACAUUGUGUUUUGUUUAUUGGAUUAUUGAUUGUGAUUUUAUUGGUAUGAAAUUGGAUUUGAUUGUAAUUUGUUAUAGAUUGUAUUGAUGAUAUUGGAUCUAGGAUAUGUACACAUCGCCCGUCGCUCUCAUUACUGGUUGAGAUAAGUCGUAACAAAGUGGUCGUACCGGAAGGUGUGGCUGGAAUGUC